Pelobates cultripes (western spadefoot toad) is the source of this 208-nucleotide non-coding RNA. Lineage: Eukaryota; Metazoa; Chordata; Amphibia; Anura; Pelobatidae. The record is from the annotation of a GenBank genome assembly.
CAGCAAUGCAGAACUAUAUUACAAAACAGGAAUAUCCGUCCACUUUUAAUAUCCUGGACAUUUUUCAGCAUUUAACAAAAUGAGAAGCAUUGAAACAAAGAUGUAGUAUUUCUUUUAUUGUAAUAAGGUUAGGCAUUAAGUUUUGGUGAUAAUUUCUACCUAAUGUAUCUCAUUACUGAAAUAAGUCGUCAAUAUUUCUAGGGGGUCA